GUAUGGUCUAGUGGUAUGAUUCUCGCUUAGGGUGCGAGAGGUCCCGGGAUCGAUCCCCGGCUCA
This 64-nucleotide transfer RNA is filed under the name Caenorhabditis briggsae. Its description in RNAcentral is "tRNA CBG28545". Lineage: Eukaryota; Metazoa; Nematoda; Chromadorea; Rhabditida; Rhabditidae. The record is from RNAcentral.